Long non-coding RNA from Lynx canadensis (Canada lynx), 1923 nucleotides. RefSeq lists it as uncharacterized. The transcript has 3 exons. The record is from RefSeq and is a predicted model, not a curated record. Lineage: Eukaryota; Metazoa; Chordata; Mammalia; Carnivora; Felidae.
AGAUAAGAUCCAGUUUCCUUACAUACCAGAAGUCGGCCUAAAUAGUGCCCAAUUCUCUGCAUACCAUGCCCAGAGUGGUGAAGUGUUUGAUCCUCCAAAUCUCUACAGAUGGAAAAGCAAACUGAGAGCAACCUCAUCUGCUCUUGAGAAAGAGAAAGAAAAGACAGGAACUAGUCCAACAGUUGACCUGCACUGAAUAGUUUAAUGCUACCCUUUUAACAGCUGGAAAUUUUUCAUGGAAUGGUUCCAACCACUCCUCAACUUGGGAAAAAAUCAUUCAGGAACCUUCUGCCUUACAAGCAAUUCAUAACCCCUGGCAAAGUUGAAUCUAAAAAAUAUACAACGUGCCUAUGAGUCAUCCUUAAAAUACUUUUCUUCAAUAAGCUUCUGUAAUGGGGAAAAAUUAUCAUUCCACACAAGCUUCUGAGACUUGUUACCACUUUGCAGAUUGAAUAACCCUUGGAGACAAGGCAAUCUACCGGCUAGACAGCCUGGAAACAGCUUCCAGACCAAUCAGCUGCUGGGAAACAGUUUUUGGCCCAAUCACCCACCUGGAAACUGUACAUGGACCACUCGCUGUCUUCUAAGAACCACUUCUCCUAAAAUCUGCCACUGCUGCCUUGCAAACCAAACCAGAGAGAGAAAAUAUACCUGAAUUAUUUCUACACUGACCUUGUGAGUCCCAGCCCAUUUGUGCCCUUUUGACAAGUGCUUCGAACUCCAUGCCCCUCAGUGGAAUUCAUUCUGUAUUGAAUAAUUUUUUGGCCAAGCCCUAUCCCUUGUGGAAAGAGACCUGGCCUGAAUCCUAAAUUCAGCACUCUGCAAGGCUGCACAAGAUCUCACCUUUGUGUGCAUUUCCAGCCUCCUCCAGCAGCCCUCUUCCCCUGGCUCUCUGCCCACCAGGCAUAUGAGACUUUCAGUUCCCUGAAUGCCCUGGGCUCCUGCUUGCCUGAGGCCCCAAGGCCUCCACCGAAACAGUUUCCUUGCCUGGAGUACCACCCUGCAACACCCUCUCCUUCUUUUCAGAAAGUCAUGCUCAUUACUCACUCAGGUUUCAACAGAAAUAUCAUUUCCCCGAUGAAAUAGUCCCUCAUCUCCCAAAGUAGGUCAGGUUCCUAUCCUGGAGGAACCCUGGGAAAGCACCUCACAGGGUCUGAGUUGCUCUGAAGCCAGCACAGAACCAUGGAAUUUCCCUCUUAAAGAUAGCAGAUGUCCUUAACAGGUCCUGACCUUUGUAACUUGUCCUUAAGUAAGUCACUCCCCUGCUCAGAAAUCAGGAGGAGUAUGUGUAACCUCUAAAAAUCCCUGACUUAAAAGCCAGUUUUGGUUUAGAAAUAAUGCUGGCUUGCUUUUUAUGUUACAUAAGAAGAGCAGUGUGCCCCCUCAGUGCCCUAAAUGAGGUAAGAGAGCCGUGAUUGGAAGUUAGCCGAAAACCCAGAGCUUCUGCCCUCAGGAAGCGAUGCGACAGAGGCAGAACAAGAUGGAACGAAGAUGAGACUAAAGGCAGGAAAACCACUUAUGAGGCCACUGCAAAUAACCAAAGGCCUGAAUUAAAGCAAUGAAUGCUUUCAUUCAUGGAAAAAGAGAGAAGGUGACAGAUUGGAGGAGAAGGAUAUAUUGGUCUUUGCCACAGCACAUGGCAUAUGUGGAGGGUGAGUGAAGAGUAUUUGGGUAAGAGGAUGGAUUUGGGGACUCCUCUUUUGUCCUCAGUCACCACAGCUUUGGGAUGCCAGUACAGUAAGUCCUAAGCUGAAUGACAUUUAGGUCUCUACAUAGCAUCUCCCACAAGCACCGUAACCCCAAAUGUCCAAACUGAUAAAUGUUUAUGAUCUAUAAUAUUAAGCAAUGAAAAUAACACUGAUUAGGGGCCCCUGGAUGGCUCAGUCAGUUGAGCGUCCGACUUCAGGUCAUGAUCUCAAGGUU